CUCCUUAAUCAGUAGUUGUAUCUCGCAGUAGGAGGUGCCAGUUUACAUCUGUCUAGGUUUCGGUCUUAGAAAUGGAAUUUGUAGUCUCGUAAAAGAAACUUAAUUCAGGAUGACGAGUUGGCAAAUUGAACGGUGUACAUAUUUACGCAAGGGCUGCAAUGUGGUGUUAAAGAAUAAGGUC
Long non-coding RNA from Amphimedon queenslandica, 181 nucleotides. RefSeq lists it as uncharacterized. The record is from RefSeq and is a predicted model, not a curated record. NCBI's taxonomy places the organism in Eukaryota, Metazoa, Porifera, Demospongiae, Haplosclerida, Niphatidae. The transcript has 3 exons.